GCACUGGCAAAAUCCAGUGCCGGGAUUGAGACCCCGUUGACUACAAAGGCGCAUUUACCGCGCAAGCGGUUUUUUU
RNAcentral lists this small RNA (76 nucleotides) under Salmonella enterica subsp. enterica serovar Typhimurium. RNAcentral describes it as "isrK". It matches the Rfam family "isrK Hfq binding RNA". The record is from RNAcentral. Lineage: Bacteria; Pseudomonadati; Pseudomonadota; Gammaproteobacteria; Enterobacterales; Enterobacteriaceae.